GAUCAUGGCUCAGGAUGAACGCUAGCUACAGGCUUAACACAUGCAAGUCGAGGGGCAGCAUGGUCUAGCAAUAGACUGAUGGCGACCGGCGCACGGGUGAGUAACACGUAUCCAACCUACCGGCUAUUCCGGGAUAGCCUUUCGAAAGAAAGAUUAAUACCGGAUAGUAUAGCGAGAAGGCAUCUUCUUGCUAUUAAAGAAUUUCGAUAACCGAUGGGGAUGCGUUCCAUUAGUUUG
This 237-nucleotide ribosomal RNA is filed under the name uncultured bacterium. RNAcentral describes it as "partial 16S ribosomal RNA". It matches the Rfam family "Bacterial small subunit ribosomal RNA", at positions 15 to 248 of the family's 1533-position model. The record is from RNAcentral.